GUGCUCACUUCGGCAGCACAUACACUAAAAUUGGAAUGACACAGAGAUUAGCAUGGCCCUGCACAAGGAUGACACACAAAUUCAUAAAGCGUUCCGUAGUUUU
This 103-nucleotide small nuclear RNA is filed under the name Tupaia belangeri chinensis (Chinese tree shrew). The record is from RNAcentral. Lineage: Eukaryota; Metazoa; Chordata; Mammalia; Scandentia; Tupaiidae.